UACCAGCUCUCCGAGUGGUAGGGAUGAUUAUUGGGCUUAAAGCGUCCGUAGCCGGCUUAGCAAGUCUCCUGUUAAAUUCAGCGACCUAAUCGUUGAGCCGCGGGAGACACUACUAGGCUAGGAGGCGGGAGAGGCCGACGGUAUUCUCGGGGUAGGGGUGAAAUCCUAUAAUCCCGGGAGGACCACCAGUGGCGAAGGCUGUCGGCUAGAACGCGCUCGACGGUGAGGGACGAAAGCUGGGGGAGCGAACCGGAUUAGAUACCCGGGUAGUCCCAGCUGUAAACGAUGCGGGCUAGGUGUUGGGGUGGCUACGAGCCACUUCAGUGCCGCAGGGAAGCUGUUAAGCCUGCCGCCUGGGGAGUACGGCCGCAAGGCUGAAACUUAAAGGAAUUGGCGGGGGAGCACCACAAGGGGUGAAGCUUGCGGUUU
RNAcentral lists this ribosomal RNA (429 nucleotides) under uncultured archaeon. Its description in RNAcentral is "bacterial SSU rRNA". It matches the Rfam family "Archaeal small subunit ribosomal RNA", at positions 474 to 903 of the family's 1478-position model. The record is from RNAcentral.